This 448-nucleotide ribosomal RNA is filed under the name Levilactobacillus brevis. RNAcentral's name for it is "bacterial SSU rRNA". It matches the Rfam family "Bacterial small subunit ribosomal RNA", at positions 94 to 529 of the family's 1533-position model. Lineage: Bacteria; Bacillati; Bacillota; Bacilli; Lactobacillales; Lactobacillaceae. The record is from RNAcentral.
AGUGGCGAAUGGUGAGUAACACGUGGGNAAUCUGCCCAGAAGCAGGGGAUAACACUUGGAAACNGGUGCUAAUACCGUAUAACAACAAAAUCCGCAUGGAUUUUGUUUGAAAGGUGGCUUCGGCUAUCACUUCUGGAUGAUCCCGCGGCGUAUUAGUUAGUUGGUGAGGUAAAGGCCCACCAAGACGAUGAUACGUAGCCGACCUGAGAGGGUAAUCGGCCACAUUGGGACUGAGACACGGCCCAAACUCCUACGGNAGGCANCAGUAGGGAAUCUUCCACAAUGGACGAAAGUCUGAUGGAGCAAUGCCGCGUGAGUGAAGAAGGGUUUCGGCUCGUAAAACUCUGUUGUUAAAGAAGAACACCUUUGAGAGUAACUGUUCAAGGGUUGACGGUAUUUAACCAGAAAGCCACGGCUAACUACGUGCCAGCAGCCGCGGUAAUACGUA